This 880-nucleotide long non-coding RNA is filed under the name Lathyrus oleraceus (garden pea). Its description in RNAcentral is "Pisum sativum (pea) long non-coding RNA (PSAT_LNC010565)". The record is from RNAcentral. Lineage: Eukaryota; Viridiplantae; Streptophyta; Magnoliopsida; Fabales; Fabaceae.
GCAUCAACGACUAACUGCUUGUGAUGAAGGUACUUGGUCCUCCCUUGGUUGGACUUGGAACCUUGGUCUUGAUCCUUAUUCUCUCUUCGCAGACCAAAAUUCAGAAUUCCAAGUCCUUCUCUCACUUUUUCACUCCAUAUCUCUAGAUCCUCUCAUUCGAGACACUUCAAUUUGGUGGUUGAACGCGACAAGAUUUUCUUCAAAAUCAGCUUACAAAAUUCGGUAUGUUGCUUUUGUUGUUGUUUCUUUGCAGGUUCUAAAUCAAGCUACGACUUUGGCAAUUUUGUGGAAAACCUUGGGUCCAACUAACAUUCACUUCUUUUCUUGGCGAUUGUUUUUGCGUAGAUUUCCAACAAGGGACGAACUAGCCAAUAAAGGAAAUCUAGUUGAAGCCCACAACCUUGUUUAUACCCUUUGCUUGGGUCAAGUGGAAGAUUUAAACCACCUUUUUCUCUUCUGUCUGGUAUCUUCUCAAGUGUGGUUUUCUAUUAUGUUGGUUGGGAUUGGAUUCACUUCCUACCCAAGAUGAUAUUCUUUCCCACUUCAUUGCCUUCGAUACAUGUUACAUAGGCAAGAAAAAAAAACUCUGUCUUCUUCCUUGAUUGGCUGUCGUCUGGUGCAUUUAGCAUAUUAGAAAUGAGACGCUUUUUAAAGAGGAUCAUAAAGGUGUAUUCGAAAUUGUUUCGCUAGCUAAAAAAUUGGAUUGAGAUUAACUUGAUGUUAGGCACAUUUUGUUGUUAGCUUGGAGGAUUGGAAUCAUAAUCUUAUAAUUUGUUUUACGUCAUUUUUCGGUUGUUUGUUGGAUUUUUCUCUUUUAUUGUAUCGUAUGGGUUGAGUACCCUUAAUAUUUAAUUUUAAUACAAUAGUUUACUUAUAAAAA